UUCAAUCAAAUUUCAUGGGUUUAACAUCAUCAUUUUCAUCAUUCCCACAAUUCAAUCAAAUUUCAUGGGUUUAACAUCAUCAUUUUUAUAAUUCCCACAAUUCAAUCAAAUUUCAUGGGUUUAACAUCAACAUUUUCAUCAUUCCCAUAAUUCAAUCAAAUUUCAUGUGUGUAACAUCAUCGUUUUCACCAUUCCCACAAUUCAAUCAAAUUUCAUGGGUUUAACAUCAUCAUUUUCAUUAUUCCCACAAUUCAAACAAAUUUCAUGGGUUUAACAUCAUCAUUUUUAUCAUUCCCACAAUUCAAUCAAAUUUCAUGGGUUUAACAUCAACAUUUCAU
RNAcentral lists this long non-coding RNA (338 nucleotides) under Lathyrus oleraceus (garden pea). RNAcentral describes it as "Pisum sativum (pea) long non-coding RNA (PSAT_LNC040399)". The record is from RNAcentral. Lineage: Eukaryota; Viridiplantae; Streptophyta; Magnoliopsida; Fabales; Fabaceae.